AUUCAAGAUCUUUCAUUUGUUCUCAAGGAAUCAUGGGAUUAUUCAACAGAGCAAUAUUGGUUCCCGAAAUUGGAUUUCCUAACUGAACUAGAAGGCCUCAAUGUAGGUUUUGAAAGAUCAAACACAAAUGACAGUGGGUCCUCUGCAGCCAUAAAUCGGCCAUGGGAUUUUCACUUCCCUUCGAGUUUGAAAAAAUUGUCGUUGGGUGACUUUCAUCUGGCAUCCGAUUCACUAUCCACAAUAGCGAGACUGCCCAACCUUGAAGUGCUGUCCCUUUAUGAUACAAUCAUCGAGGGGGAAGAAAGGAACAUGGAGGAGGAAGACACCUUUGAGAAUCUCAAAUGUUUGAAGUUACGUCAAGUGACUCUUUCUAAGUGGGAGGUUGGAGAGGAAUCCUUUCCCGCGCUUGAGAAAUUAAAACUGGAGGGAUGUCGUAAGCUUGAGGAGAUUCCACCUAGUUUUGGGGAUAUUUGGUCACUCAAAAUUAUCAAACUUGUAGAGAGCCCUCAACUUGAAGAUUCCACUAUGAAGAUUAAGGAAUACGCUGAAGAUAUGAGGGGAGGAGACGAGCUUCAAGUUGUUGGCAGGAAGAAUAUCCCGUAAUUUAAGUAGCAUUAUAUGUGAACAGAUCACAUGUAAAGAAGAUGGUUACAAUUCUUUUUUCUGUUGUGGUGAAUAUGUAUUCCAAGAACUCUCUGCUAUGAUGGGAAAGAAUACAAAAGGUGCAAGAUUAUUGGUCUUGAGGAGAUAGCCAACUAUUGUAAGGACUUAAUAAGGGUAUUUCCUUAUGCACAAGAACUGAAUGUAUCCUUGACAGAGCUAUCUCAAGCUGGCUCCACUUGGUUCUAUACUUCUGCUGCCAAAUGACAAAUGCCCCCUUGGUUACAAUUGCAAGGAACUGGUUUAACUUGAUUCGGUUUCAUUUGUGUUUACUCAAG
Long non-coding RNA from Solanum tuberosum (potato), 938 nucleotides. RefSeq lists it as uncharacterized. The record is from RefSeq and is a predicted model, not a curated record. NCBI's taxonomy places the organism in Eukaryota, Viridiplantae, Streptophyta, Magnoliopsida, Solanales, Solanaceae. The transcript has 3 exons.